GACGAACGCUGGCGGCGUGCUUAACACAUGCAAGUCGAACGGAAAGGCCUGCUUUCCCUUGUGGAUUGCGGGUACUCGAGUGGCGAACGGGUGAGUAACACGUGAGUGAUCUGCCCCCAACUUGGGUAUAAGCCUGGGAAACUGGGUCUAAUUCCCGAUAGGACUGCAGGGUGGUGCCGGUGGUGGAAAACGAUUUUCUAGUGGUUGGGGAUGAGCUCGCGGCCUAUCAGCUUGUUGGUGGGGUAAUGGCCUACCAAGGCGGCGACGGGUAGCCGGCCUGAGAGGGUGGACGGCCACAUUGGGACUGAGAUACGGCCCAGACUCCUACGGGAGGCAGCAGUGGGGACUAUUGCACAAUGGGCGGAAGCCUGAUGCAGCGACGCCGCGUGGGGGAUGCCGGCCUUCGGGUUGUAAACUCCUUUCGACCGCGAGGAAGCCACCUGGUUGGAAGGGUGGUGACGGUAGUGGUAGAAGAAGCACCGGCUAACUACGUG
This 494-nucleotide ribosomal RNA is filed under the name uncultured bacterium. RNAcentral's name for it is "partial 16S ribosomal RNA". It matches the Rfam family "Bacterial small subunit ribosomal RNA", at positions 28 to 507 of the family's 1533-position model. The record is from RNAcentral.